AUGAACGCUGGCGGCGUGCCUAAUACAUGCAAGUCGCGCGAACGGACGAGAAGCUUGCUUCUCUGAUGGUAGCGGCGGACGGGUGAGUAACACGUGGAUAACCUACCUAUAAGACUGGGAUAACUUCGGGAAACCGGAGCUAAUACCGGAUGAUAUUUUGAACCGCAUGGUUCAAAAGUGAAAGACGGUCUUGCUGUCACUUAUAGAUGGAUCCGCGCUGCAUUAGCUAGUUGGUAAGGUAACGGCUUACCAAGGCAACGAUGCAUAGCCGACCUGAGAGGGUGAUCGGCCACACUGGAACUGAGACACGGUCCAGACUCCUACGGGAGGCAGCAGUAGGGAAUCUUCCGCAAUGGGCGAAAGCCUGACGGAGCAACGCCGCGUGAGUGAUGAAGGUCUUCGGAUCGUAAAACUCUGUUAUUAGGGAAGAACAUAUGUGUAAGUAACUGUGCACAUCUUGACGGUACCUAAUCAGAAAGCCACGGCUAACUACGUG
Molecule: ribosomal RNA, 496 nt
Filed under: uncultured bacterium
Lineage: Bacteria
Description: partial 16S ribosomal RNA
Rfam family: Bacterial small subunit ribosomal RNA
Source: RNAcentral